Molecule: transfer RNA, 66 nt
Filed under: Agriocnemis femina
Lineage: Eukaryota; Metazoa; Arthropoda; Insecta; Odonata; Coenagrionidae
Description: tRNA-Arg
Source: RNAcentral
AAGUGGAAAGUAAAAACUUACAAUCAGUUUCGACCUGAAAAUUUGGCAAAAUUAUGCCUCUACUUA